AGGACGAACGCUGGCGGCGCGCUUAACACAUGCAAGUCGUACGGAGUUGUUCCUUCGGGGACAGCUCAGUGGCGAACGGGUGCGUAACACGUGAGCAACCUGCCUGCCGGUGGGGAUAACCCGGGAAACCGGGCUAAUACCGCAUUCGCUCUUGGUCUCGAUUGGGACUUUGAGGAAAGGUGCUGCAAGGCACUGCCGGCAGAGGGGCUCGCGGCGUAUCAGCUAGCUGGUGGGUAACGCCUACCAGGGCAACGACGCGUAGCCGAUCUGAGAGGAUGAUCGGCCACAUUGGGACUGAGAUACGGCCCAGACUCCGUACGGGAGGCAGCAGUGGGAAUCUAGCGCGAAUGGGCGAAAGCCUGACGCAGCGACGCCGCGGUGGGGAGAAGCGUUUCGGAGU
This 400-nucleotide ribosomal RNA is filed under the name uncultured soil bacterium. Its description in RNAcentral is "bacterial SSU rRNA". It matches the Rfam family "Bacterial small subunit ribosomal RNA", at positions 26 to 424 of the family's 1533-position model. The record is from RNAcentral.